RNAcentral lists this ribosomal RNA (499 nucleotides) under uncultured bacterium. RNAcentral describes it as "partial 16S ribosomal RNA". It matches the Rfam family "Bacterial small subunit ribosomal RNA", at positions 28 to 507 of the family's 1533-position model. The record is from RNAcentral.
GACGAACGCUGGCGGCGUGCCUAAUACAUGCAAGUCGAGCGAAGUUUUUCUGGUGCUUGCACCGGAAAAACUUAGCGGCGAACGGGUGAGUAACACGUAAAGAACCUGCCUCAUAGACUGGGACAACUAUUGGAAACGAUAGCUAAUACCGGAUAACAGCAUUAACUGCAUGGUUGAUGUUUAAAAGUUGGUUUUGCUAACACUAUGAGAUGGCUUUGCGGGGCAUUAGCUAGUUGGUGGGGUAAAGGCCUACCAAGGCGACGAUGCAUAGCCGACCUGAGAGGGUGAUCGGCCACACUGGGACUGAGACACGGCCCAGACUCCUACGGGAGGCAGCAGUAGGGAAUCUUCCGCAAUGGGCGAAAGCCUGACGGAGCAACGCCGCGUGAGUGAAGAAGGAUUUCGGUUCGUAAAGCUCUGUUGUUAGGGAAGAAUGAUUGUGUAGUAACUAUACACAGUAGAGACGGUACCUAAACAGAAAGCCACGGCUAACUACGUG